AACACCUCACCUGCCGAAUGAAUUAGCCCUGAAAAUGGAUGGCGCUCAAGCGGGUAGCCGACACUGUGCCAUCUGGCCCAAAAAAUAUUAUGUAAGUGACAGAUGAGUAGGAAGGAAACGUAGCGGUCGUAUAGAAGCGUGUGCGCAAGCAUGCGUGGAACGGCCGCUAGUGCAGAUCUUGGUGGUAGUAGCAAAUAUUCAAAUGAGAACCUUGAAGGGCGAAGCGGGGAAGGGUUCCAUGCGAACAUUGAUUGGGCAUGGGUGAGUCGUUCCUAAGCCGUCUGGUAAUUGGCUAGACAUUUCGGCGAAAGGGAAGCAGGUUGAUAUUCCUGCACACGGAUGUGGAAAUGCGGUGACGCACACUGGGGCGGUGAAGCCGUCGGUUGCACUGGGCAGAGAUUUCUUUUCUGUUUGACGGAGCCUGACUGUACACUAUGGAAUCCGCUUGUCGGGAGAAAUAGGUAUGUCACGGCAAAGCGCCGGGUUUUUUUUCUGGCGUCCAGUUUGCGACUGGCGGACCAUGAAAAGCUGUCUGCUGGCAAAACCACUGUGUUUUGUGUGAAAAAUUCCACGCCGUAACGUACCCAUAACCGCAUCAGGUCCCCAAGGUGAACAGCCUCUGCUCGAUAUGAAAAAUGCAGGUGAGGGAAGUCGGCAAAUUGGACCCGUAACUUUGGGAAAAGGGUUGGCUCUAGUGCUGUGUAGGAGUGGUUGCUGGUUGUAGCCGCGAAUUGGGUUGAUUUUUGCCGGAGGUUUGGAAAGAAAAAAAAUGUGCAUUCGUGUGCAUUUUAUGUAUUUUUAAGCCAUCGUGUGGGAAUUACCUGGUUUGUGGUUCCUGGCGACUGCCUACAGCAUGCAGCAAACUAGAACUGCAACGGACAAAGGGAAUCCGACUGUUUAAUUAAAACAAAGCAUU
RNAcentral lists this ribosomal RNA (916 nucleotides) under Bostrychia binderi. RNAcentral describes it as "eukaryotic LSU rRNA". It matches the Rfam family "Eukaryotic large subunit ribosomal RNA", at positions 1284 to 2160 of the family's 3401-position model. The record is from RNAcentral. Lineage: Eukaryota; Rhodophyta; Florideophyceae; Ceramiales; Rhodomelaceae.